AAAAAAAAAACUCGUUUUCUUUUCUUCUCUUCUCUUCUCUUGUUGCGGCGAAGGGGGAGAGGAAGGUCGAGGUCGACGAGAUGGGCGGCGGCAAUGGGCAGAAGUCGAAGAUGGCGAGGGAGAGGAACAUGGAGAAGAACAAGGGCGCCAAGGGGAGCCAGCUUGAGGCCAACAAGAAGGCCAUGAACAUCCAGUGCAAGAUAUGCAUGCAGACUUUCAUCUGCACCACCUCUGAGACCAAGUGCAAAGAGCAUGCUGAGG
Molecule: unclassified non-coding RNA, 261 nt
Filed under: Hevea brasiliensis (rubber tree)
Lineage: Eukaryota; Viridiplantae; Streptophyta; Magnoliopsida; Malpighiales; Euphorbiaceae
Source: RNAcentral